Molecule: ribosomal RNA, 435 nt
Filed under: uncultured fungus
Lineage: Eukaryota; Fungi
Description: LSU rRNA
Rfam family: Eukaryotic large subunit ribosomal RNA
Source: RNAcentral
GCAUAUCAAUAAGCGGAGGAAAAGAAAAUAACAAUGAUUCCCUUAGUAACGGCGAGUGAAGGGGAAAAAGCUCAAAUUUUAAAUCUGCUAGGUUUUACUUAUCAGAAUUGUAAUUUGAAGAAGCGUUUUCCGCGUCUUGGUUGGCCCAAAUCCUUUGGGAUAAGGUAUCAUGGAGGGUGAGAAUCCCGUUCAGUUGACCUUAUGACGCUCUACGAUACGCUCUCUAAGAGUCGAGUUGUUUGGGAUUGCAGCUCAAAAUGGGAGGUAAAUUUCUCCUAAGGCUAAAUAUCGGCGAGAGACCGAUAGCGAACAAGUACCGUGAGGGAAAGAUGAAAAGAACUUUGAAAAGAGAGUAAAAUAGUACGUGAAAUUGUUGAAAGGGAAACGAUUGAAGUCAGUCGUACCGACGAGAAAUCAACUUAUCGUGUGCGAACU